RNAcentral lists this unclassified non-coding RNA (387 nucleotides) under uncultured Verrucomicrobiae bacterium. RNAcentral's name for it is "contains 16S-23S intergenic spacer region". The record is from RNAcentral. Lineage: Bacteria; Pseudomonadati; Verrucomicrobiota; Verrucomicrobiia.
UCCCCGUUUAAGCGAGGCAGUCUGUCCAGAGUGCUCCCGGCUCCCGCCGGGGUGGCAACAGGACACAAGGGUUGCGCUCGUUGCGGGACUUAACCCAACAUCUCACGACACGAGCUGACGACAGCCAUGCAGCACCUGUGCAAGCUCCCCUUGCGGGGUCGUCACCCUUUCAGGCUUCUACCACUUGCAUGUCAAGGCCAGGUAAGGUUCUUCGCGUUGCAUCGAAUUAAGCCCCAUACUCCACCGCUUGUGCAGGCCCCCGUCAAUUUCUUUGAGUUUUAAUCUUGCGACCGUACUCCCCAGGCGGCGCGUUUAUCGCGUUAGCUUCGCCACAGAAGGGGUCGAUUCCUCCUACAGCAAACGCGCACCGUUUAGGGCCGGGACUAC